UGGGGAAUAUUGCACAAUGGGCGCAAGCCUGAUGCAGCAACGCCGCGUGAGGGACGACGGCCUUCGGGUUGUAAACCUCUUUUAGUAGGGAAGAAGCGAAAGUGACGGUACCUGCAGAAAAACGCACCGGCUAACUACGUGCCAGCAGCCGCGGUAAUACGUAGGGUGCGAGCGUUGUCCGGAAUUAUUGGGCGUAAAGAGCUCGUAGGCGGUCUGUCGCGUCUGCUGUGAAAAUCCCCGAGGCUCAACCUCGGGCCUGCAGUGGGUACGGGCAGACUAGAGUGCGGUAGGGGAGAAUGGAAUUCCUGGUGUAGCGGUGGAAUGCGCAGAUAUCAGGAGGAACACCGAUGGCGAAGGCAGUUCUCUGGGCCCGUAACUGACGCUGAGGAGCGAAAGCGUGGGGAGCGAACAGGAUUAGAUACCCUGGUAGUCCACGCCGUAAACGUUGGGCGCUAGAUGUGGGGCACCAUUCCACGGUUUCCGUGUCGCAGCUAACGCAUU
Molecule: ribosomal RNA, 501 nt
Filed under: uncultured bacterium
Lineage: Bacteria
Description: partial 16S ribosomal RNA
Rfam family: Bacterial small subunit ribosomal RNA
Source: RNAcentral